Molecule: long non-coding RNA, 356 nt
Filed under: Spirodela polyrhiza (greater duckweed)
Lineage: Eukaryota; Viridiplantae; Streptophyta; Magnoliopsida; Alismatales; Araceae
Description: long non-coding RNA (SPOL_LNC001297)
Source: RNAcentral
CGAAACUUGGGCCCCUCGUCGCCGGAAUCUGUUUCCUCCUCAUGGAUCCCUCUGCCCAUAAGGAAGGUGGGCAAGCCCACAAGCCCCGGCCACAAACCGGCGAGCUCCUCUCCAGCGCCAAGGUGGUGGCCGGCGCCGCCAAGGCCUCCCUCCGCCACGAACCCGGCGGCGUGGACAAGGGCAAGGUGGCCGGCGCCGCCGCCAACCUUCUAGACGCCGCCGCCCACUACACCAAGCUCGAAGAGAAGGGCGCGGGGAAGUACAUCGAGAAGGCCGAGGGAUACCUGCGCACGUACCACUCUACCCAUUCGGUACCCGGCGGCGCGCCGCCGUCCACGUCUCCCGCCGCCCACGAG